Molecule: ribosomal RNA, 253 nt
Filed under: uncultured bacterium
Lineage: Bacteria
Description: partial 16S ribosomal RNA
Rfam family: Bacterial small subunit ribosomal RNA
Source: RNAcentral
UACAGAGGUCUCAAGCGUUGUUCGGAUUCAUUGGGCGUAAAGGGUGCGUAGGCGGCGCGGUAAGUCGGGCGUGAAAUCCCUAGGCUCAACCUAGGAACUGCACUCGAAACUGUUUAUCUUGAGUGCCGGAGAGGAAAGCGGAAUUCCUGGUGUAGAGGUGAAAUUCGUAGAUAUCAGGAGGAACACCGGUGGCGAAGGCAGGUCUCUGGGCCGAUACUGACGCUGAGGAGCGAAAGCGUGGGGAGCGAACAGG